UCUAGCUUUUCAUUCAGGGCC
This 21-nucleotide non-coding RNA is filed under the name Arabidopsis thaliana (thale cress). Lineage: Eukaryota; Viridiplantae; Streptophyta; Magnoliopsida; Brassicales; Brassicaceae. The record is from RNAcentral.